AUUGAACGCUGGCGGCAGGCCUAACACAUGCAAGUCGAGCGGAUGAAGGGAGCUUGCUCCUGGAUUCAGCGGCGGACGGGUGAGUAAUGCCUAGGAAUCUGCCUGGUAGUGGGGGAUAACGUCCGGAAACGGGCGCUAAUACCGCAUACGUCCUGAGGGAGAAAGUGGGGGAUCUUCGGACCUCACGCUAUCAGAUGAGCCUAGGUCGGAUUAGCUAGUUGGUGGGGUAAAGGCCUACCAAGGCGACGAUCCGUAACUGGUCUGAGAGGAUGAUCAGUCACCUUGGAACGGAAACAGGGCCCGACCUCCUCGGGGGGGCGGCAGGGGGAAAUUUGGGACAAGGGGGGAAGGCUGGACCGACCCGUCCCGCGUGGUGAAGGGGGUUCUUGGGAUUGAAAAGACUUUUAAGUGGGGGGAAGGGGAAGUAAUUAAAUCCCUUGUUGUUUUGAGUUUCCAAAAAAAAAAAACCCCGGCUACCUUCGUC
This 484-nucleotide ribosomal RNA is filed under the name uncultured bacterium. RNAcentral describes it as "partial 16S ribosomal RNA". It matches the Rfam family "Bacterial small subunit ribosomal RNA", at positions 30 to 507 of the family's 1533-position model. The record is from RNAcentral.